UACGAAGGGGGCUAGCGUUGCUCGGAAUUACUGGGCGUAAAGGGCGCGUAGGCGGUUAGUUUAGUCAGAGGUGAAAGCCCAGGGCUCGACCUUGGAAUUGCCUUUGAUACUGGCUAUCUUGAGUUCGGGAGAGGUGAGUGGAAUGCCGAGUGUAGAGGUGAAAUUCGUAGAUAUUCGGCGGAACACCAGUGGCGAAGGCGACUCACUGGCCCGAUACUGACGCUGAGGCGCGAAAGCGUGGGGAGCAAACAGG
This 253-nucleotide ribosomal RNA is filed under the name uncultured bacterium. RNAcentral describes it as "partial 16S ribosomal RNA". It matches the Rfam family "Bacterial small subunit ribosomal RNA", at positions 524 to 776 of the family's 1533-position model. The record is from RNAcentral.